UACGUAGGGGGCGAGCGUUGUCCGGAGUUACUGGGCGUAAAGCGCACGCAGGCAGUCUGCUAAGUUUGGAGUGACAGUUGGUGGCUUAACUGCCAAAGUGCUUCGAAAACUGACAGACUUGAGGGCUUCAGAGGGACACGGAAUUCCGGGUGGAGUGGUGAAAUGCGUAGAGAUCCGGAGGAACACCAAAGGUGAAGGCAGUGUCCUGGGGAGUACCUGACGCUCAGGUGCGAAAGCCAGGGGAGCGAACGGG
This 253-nucleotide ribosomal RNA is filed under the name uncultured bacterium. Its description in RNAcentral is "partial 16S ribosomal RNA". It matches the Rfam family "Bacterial small subunit ribosomal RNA", at positions 524 to 776 of the family's 1533-position model. The record is from RNAcentral.